ACAUUGAUAGCACAGUGGUUAGUGCAGUCUGCCGGAAACAGAAGGACGCGGGUUCAAUUUCCGUCCUAUGUC
Nippostrongylus brasiliensis is the source of this 72-nucleotide non-coding RNA. The record is from Rfam. Lineage: Eukaryota; Metazoa; Nematoda; Chromadorea; Rhabditida; Heligmosomidae.